This 694-nucleotide long non-coding RNA is filed under the name Brassica napus (rape). Its description in RNAcentral is "long non-coding RNA (BNAP_LNC017681)". The record is from RNAcentral. Lineage: Eukaryota; Viridiplantae; Streptophyta; Magnoliopsida; Brassicales; Brassicaceae.
UUGGAAGCAGUUGAAGUGAAUUUGUCUGGCUGGUGAUUUGUGAGGUGAUUGACGAUGGUGGUGCAGAUUCUGUGGAACUAUGGAGGAGGUGGUCAAAGAUAGAAGGGAUAGAAGACGAUGAGGAUUUAAGUAUGGAUUGGAAAAAGUUGGUGGCGGAAGAGAGGUGGUAGAAGGAGAGGGUGUUUGUAGCUUCCAUGGCUACUAAUAGAAGCAGAUUCAAGCUCAUAGUGAACCCUGCCAUUUUUGUAGUUCCCUCAACCUUCUCUUUGCACGGAUCCAAAGUUUUUAAAUUUCUCAACAUAGUUUUUUUUGUUUUUUAGAGAUUUGACUGCAUUUUUGUGUGGAUGUGGAUACAUUUUUUUGUGACAGACAUUGUGUCAACAGAGUUCUUGAAUCGUUUUUCCUGAGUUAACUCGAAAGUCAUGGUCUCUCUGAUGGAAGAAGACAAGAGAUUUGACUGUGGAGACAAACUGUGGAUACAAUUGUUAUGGACACAAAUUUCUUUUGUCUAUUUAUCUCUUCUCGUAACAGUUUUUUUUUAAUUGUGAAUUGAUUCACGAGAAAUCUAAAAAUGAAAAUUCAUACAAGAUGUGUACAAGAAAUGCAUACAUUAAAAACUUGUCCGUCCACAAUUUGCUUUUUUUUUUUAACUCAACAUCAACUUUUCAUUAGCCAAAUAUUUUGGAUACAAACA